This 397-nucleotide ribosomal RNA is filed under the name uncultured bacterium. Its description in RNAcentral is "partial 16S ribosomal RNA". It matches the Rfam family "Bacterial small subunit ribosomal RNA", at positions 523 to 918 of the family's 1533-position model. The record is from RNAcentral.
AUACGUAGGUGGCAAGCGUUGUCCGGAUUUACUGGGCGUAAAGCGUGCGUAGGUGGUUGUUUAAGUCUGUCGUGAAAGCCCUGGGCUCAACCUGGGAAUGGCGAUGGAAACUGGGCGACUAGAGUGUGGCAGAGGGUAGUGGAAUUCCUGGUGUAGCAGUGAAAUGCGUAGAGAUCAGGAGGAACAUCCGUGGCGAAGGCGAAUGCCUGGGCCAACACUGACACUGAGGCACGAAAGCGUGGGGAGCAAACAGGAUUAGAUACCCUGGUAGUCCACGCCCUAAACGAUGCGAACUGGAUGUUGGGUGCAAUUUGGCACGCAGUAUCGAAGCUAACGCGUUAAGUUCGCCGCCUGGGGAGUACGGUCGCAAGACUGAAACUCAAAUGAAUUGACGGGG